This 72-nucleotide transfer RNA is filed under the name Bos taurus (domestic cattle). It matches the Rfam family "tRNA". Rfam says of the family: Transfer RNA (tRNA) molecules are approximately 80 nucleotides in length. Their secondary structure includes four short double-helical elements and three loops (D, anti-codon, and T loops). Further hydrogen bonds mediate the characteristic L-shaped molecular structure. tRNAs have two regions of fundamental functional importance: the anti-codon, which is responsible for specific mRNA codon recognition, and the 3' end, to which the tRNAs corresponding amino acid is attached (by aminoacyl-tRNA synthetases). tRNAs cope with the degeneracy of the genetic code in two manners: having more than one tRNA (with a specific anti-codon) for a particular amino acid; and 'wobble' base-pairing, i.e. permitting non-standard base-pairing at the 3rd anti-codon position. Lineage: Eukaryota; Metazoa; Chordata; Mammalia; Artiodactyla; Bovidae. RNAcentral also lists the same sequence under 3 other names. The record is from Rfam by way of RNAcentral.
UCCCUGAUGGCUCAGUAGUAAAGAAUCUGCCUGCCAAAGCAGGAGACAGAGGUUCGAUUCCUGAUCCGGGAA